GAUGAACGCUGGCGGCGCGUCUAAGACAUGCAAGUCGAGCGAAGCUAUACCGGGAUUUCGGUUCUGGUGUAGACUGAGCGGCGAACGGGUGAGUAACACGUAAGUAACGUACCCCGAUGCCCGGGAUAACGGUUCGAAAGGACCGCUAAUACUGGAUAAGCCUUUCGUUUCACAAGUAGUGAAAGGGAAAGCGGGGGAUCUUCGGACCUCGUGCUUCGGGAGCGGCUUGCGGCCUAUUAGCCUGUUGGUGGGGUAACGGCCUACCAAAGCUAUGAUGGGUAGCUGGUCUGAGAGGAUGAUCAGCCACACUGGGACUGAGACACGGCCCAGACUCCUACGGGAGGCAGCAGUUAAGAAUCUUGCACAAUGGGCGAAAGCCCGAUGCAGCGACGCCGCGUGAGCGAUGAAGGCCUUCGGGUUGUAAAGCUCUUUGUCUGAGGGAAGAAACAAGGAGAAGUAAUAUGUCUCCUGA
Molecule: ribosomal RNA, 472 nt
Filed under: uncultured Pseudomonadota bacterium
Lineage: Bacteria; Pseudomonadati; Pseudomonadota
Description: bacterial SSU rRNA
Rfam family: Bacterial small subunit ribosomal RNA
Source: RNAcentral